AGAGUUUGAUCAUGGCUCAGAACGAACGCUGGCGGCAUGCCUAACACAUGCAAGUCGAACGAAGCCUUCGGGCUUAGUGGCGCACGGGUGCGUAACGCGUGGGAAUCUGCCCUUGGGUUCGGAAUAACAGUUAGAAAUGACUGCUAAUACCGAAUGAUGUCUUCGGGCCAAAGAUUUAUCGCCCAAGGAUGAGCCCGCGUCGGAUUAGCUAGUUGGUGAGGUAAAAGGCUCACCAAGGCGACGAUCCGUAGCUGGUCUGAGAGGAUGAUCAGCCACACUGGGACUGAGACACGGCCCAGACUCCUACGGGAGGCAGCAGUGGGGAAUAUUGGACAAUGGGCGAAAGCCUGAUCCAGCAAUGCCGCGUGAGUGAUGAAGGCCUUAGGGUUGUAAAGCUCUUUUACCCGGGAUGAUAAUGACAGUACCGGGAGAAUAAGCCCCGGCUAACUCCGUG
This 454-nucleotide ribosomal RNA is filed under the name uncultured bacterium. Its description in RNAcentral is "bacterial SSU rRNA". It matches the Rfam family "Bacterial small subunit ribosomal RNA", at positions 8 to 507 of the family's 1533-position model. The record is from RNAcentral.